GCUUUAGCCUCGGCGCGGCCAUCUUGUGUGUCCUCAUAUUGUACUCUUGCAAUAACCUGUAUCUGACACUUGCUUGGUUGGAUCCCAGUAUUUAAUGACAGUGAGUGAGAUUUAACAAUUUAUUGAACACAGUUUUUGCCGGCAAAGAAAAUGUGACUCAAUAUUCGUCGUAAUGAAUCCGACAGAAUGGAGUCUGAGUCGUCCAAUCAGAAAGCAAAUAACUGAUAUGCAAAUUAUAUUUUAUCAUCAUCACGUCAGCAGCGGUGGAACCGCUGAGGUCGCCAGCAGCGGUACAACACUGUGUGUUAAAACUCGGGUAGCUGUCAUUCGGAUGGAAGGACUGUGACGCUCAGCUGGCUCAGGGAAUCCCUCGCUGUAAACUCAAAACUAAAAGAUAAAUGAAUUGCUAACCGAGGUGAGAGUCACACAAUAACCCAUCCUUUCAGGAAAUUGCUCGAUAGAAAGCAGUGAUACCCGUGAAGUGCUUUUCAUGAGUAACGUUAUAUGGUUCUGAACUAACAGCGACUGUGCCUGUCAAGGCGUUAACGAUGGCUGAGCUCGUUGGGUAGGGAAUGGAACCUAGCAUCGCUUCUCUGUGAAGGUGCCGAGAAAAGAGUGGCACGGUUAUACAGUUGUUGUUGACUGUUUUUAUUGCUGCUUCAAAGAUGGAAACGUGGCAUUUGGGAAACUAGCUUGGUCUGUAACGUGUCUCUAUCCAAAGGACUACCUGCUCCUGUGUAACUCACUAACGUCACGACUCCACUCACUGACUGGAGCGUGGCAAGCCAGUUGCUGAGAGAUACCAGUAGGUCUACGGGGAAACACGUGUGCGAUUCUCCAGCAGGCAUUCGGUAAUAUAACGAACCCAGCAGUCUAUCUUUUUAAGCAAACUGAGAUUAGUUGUUUUAUCCUUACGGAAGGUUUGCUCCUUUCUGGGCGCACGCCACAUCAGUUCACAUCUUGAAUAUAUCUUUACAUGAUGACCGAUAUUUCAGCUGCUAAUGGCAAGGCAUUGUAGACCUGUUGGUGGGAGUCGCAUCAGAUGGCUCAGGAUGCUGUGGAGGUUAGUGGUCAUUUUGGACAUCUGUCGACACUCAGACGAGCUGGAUUAACUGUUGUUUCAACCUGUUGUGCAUUAUGAGAAACGAAGUGUACAUUUUAGCACUUAUAUCGACACGAGUUAUGUUUGGCGUGGUGUAAGAUAAAUAGUAUGUUAAAUUAUAUUAUUCGUUAGAACUUUGUCUCAAAGAACCAGUCAUGGCCGGAUACCGACAACAACGUGGCUUAGUCUGCACUUGAACUGGUAUUUGUUAACUUAAUGUAAUUCACUUGGAGUCAUUUACGAUAAAUCGGCUUGUUUGUUAAUUUCAACUCGAGAAAAAUGGGACCAUAUUAGUGAAGGGAACGCUUGGGGUGAUGCAUCAGGUCCUAUUACCGAGGGCAAAGGAGGCCGUGUUGACCCAUCCGUGCAAGCUGGUUAACCCUGUUAGCAAAAUUAGCGAGUUUCAGUAGUCUUUUUCAAAGUUGCUUUGAAACAACAUCUGUUGAUUCAUUCGCUCGGCUGGGUCGCCCUGGUAUUUAUUCAUGCAGUUUUUCGAGAUAAGCCACCCGAACACUUAAAAUGUCGACGUCUUAUUUAUUUGUGUGGGCCGCCAGGGUUAGCAAGUGCGGGUUGGAGAUACGCCACCAAGAAGCACAGUAGACACACGAUAAACAAAGACGCGGCUUGCUACGGUAAGUGUGAGGGAGGAAGUAAUUAAAACGAAAAGACCCAAACAUACGCGUUUGGAAUUUUUAACGCGGAAACUUGCAGUGAGGAGCCUUAACCUGUUGCUCUGUUGCUGUUAAGUUGUUGAUUAUUGAUACCCAGAGGUGUACUUUAUUCUUCAAGUGACAAAACGACAUACGACCUAUAUUUCAAUGGUCCUUAUAGGGUAUAGAUGUAACUUGGCUAUCUAUUUGUCAUCUGCGAGGUGAUUAGCAAGUUAUGGAACUGUUCUUUUUAAAUGUACCAGUGUGCCAAGAUAUGCUGACUUUAAUGUAAUGUGUUUAAUGCUCAAUUUUAGUU
This is a long non-coding RNA of Clupea harengus (Atlantic herring), 2068 nucleotides long. The record is from Ensembl. Lineage: Eukaryota; Metazoa; Chordata; Actinopteri; Clupeiformes; Clupeidae.